RNAcentral lists this long non-coding RNA (548 nucleotides) under Malus domestica (apple). RNAcentral describes it as "long non-coding RNA (MDOM_LNC008942)". Lineage: Eukaryota; Viridiplantae; Streptophyta; Magnoliopsida; Rosales; Rosaceae. The record is from RNAcentral.
UUGUUGUGAAGAUAAGGUGGUUGGAUAGUGGGUUUGUUGCUUUGUUGGUUUGUUUAUUCUUGUGAAGAUAAGAUGGUUUGUUGUUGUUGAGAAAUGGUUAAUGUGCUUUGGCUGUUUGCAUAUAGUUGUGGUUUGUUGCAAUUGCAUAUAGUUGCAUAUAGAAUGUUGUGCAUUGCUUUUUGUUGUUGGCUUUUAAAAUGCAAUUAGUUGCAUAUAGAAUGUUGUGCAUUAGUUGCAUAUAGAAUGGUUUUUUAGGUUAAAAUGCAAUUGCUUAUGUUUGUUGUUGGCUUUUCAUUAGGGUUUGUUUUUGUGAAUUUCAGUUGUUCCAGAACUAUUCUCUAUUGAAUUGCAUCAUGGUGGGGAGAUAAGUUAUGACAUGUACGUUGGGGGAAAAGUGACAUAUAGAUAACUGUGAUAAAGACCUCAUGUCACUGCCGGUGAUAGAUGAUAUGGUGGAGGUAGUUGGAUACAUUGAGCGGUUCAUGAACUAUUAUUUCAAGAUUCCCAACAUGGACCUUUCCAAUGGUUUGAAGCAGAUUCAAAGUGAU